GAUGAGGAUUGUGGCCAACCUCUGAAGUUCAUUUUCUCUAUCCUUAACUCGCUGUCUGGUGGUGUAUGGCAUUUUGCCAUUAAAACCCGUUUUACAAUAGUUAGGGAAGCUUCUGCUUCGACUCCGGUGAGAGCCUGUGGGAUUGGGAGACCUCCUUUUUAGCACCUUACAGUCAUUACUCAAGUGGGUCAGCUUCUUUUAGCACUUAAGCCGUAAUCGUGAGCUUUUAUUCGUAUUUGUACUUACAGUACGGGCUCAAUUUUGUGUUGGUUGGUGGUGGAACGCUCUGUAAAUUCACCUAGAGGACUUGAAAAUGGAGCUGUCAAAUGCUCCUCCUUUGCUGAAUUCAUCUUCCGCAUCAAGCUCUAAAACGUUAGAAUCCUCAUCUGUGAUCAAUAAUCAGCCCUCUAGUGCCGGGAAACAGCAAUCAAUUGAAGUCUUCGAACCAGCGACAAGUCACAGGGUAGAACUUGCGCCGAGUAGUAGUAGUGGCCAGGGUAUUGGUGAGACGAAUACUGAUCGAUUUCAAGAAGGAGAAUCAUCCAGGGACAAUACUAUUUCUAGUACCAAUGACAGGGACAGGGAGAGGGAGCCCGUCAAUAAGUGGAUGGCAUUUGAGCAGCAAGAGCCCAGCAUUUCUCAUAUCACAACUGUUGACAAUCACCCUGCCUCAAAGUCAUUAAAGGGGAGUAUUAUCAAUACCAAUCCAGAAUUUUCUUAUAUGGGUGAGACAGUAGUAGUAACACCCAAAGAAGCAGCAGCAUUGAGCAUAGCAAAAAGAACAACAAAAGAAUGUGGGCCUGGGAAACUAAUAUCUGGGGACGAAGAUCCUAUUAUUAGUAGUAAAAAGUACUUAUCCGAUAGAUUUACGGUUGACUCAAUACAGACAUCUGAGGACUACGAAGUCUAUGGAAUCCCGAGAGUCUCUCAGGAGUUGAAGGAUGCUCUGGCAACACUUCAGCAGACGUUUGUAGUAUCGGAUGCCACAAAACCUGAUUGCCCAAUCAUGUACGCCAGUAGCGGCUUUUUUAGCAUGACUGGGUAUUCCUCAAAAGAGGUCAUUGGAAGGAAUUGCCGCUUCCUUCAGGGGCCGGAGACGGACCAGGACGAAGUUGCAAAGAUACGGAAUGCCGUGAAAACUGGGAAAAGCUACUGUGGUAGGCUCUUGAACUAUAAGAAAGAUGGCACUCCUUUCUGGAAUCUUCUCACUGUCACCCCCAUUAACGAUGACAAUGGCAAGGCCAUCAAAUUUAUUGGCAUGCAGGUUGAAGUCAGCAAAUAUACUGAAGGUGUGAAUGACAAGGCAUUACGACCAAAUGGUUUGCCAAAGUCGUUGAUCCGCUAUGAUGCUCGUCAAAAGGAGGAGGCUUUAGGAUCAAUCACGGAGGUGGUCCAGAUUGUCAAGCAUCCACGAUCCCAUACGCAGUCUGUAAAGCAGGAGGAGGAAUUCAACCUUGAUUAUAUUCUGCCCAAACCUGCUGAAAUUGAAAACAUGAGUGUACCAGGCAGACAGACCCCUCAAUUGGUUUCUGGAAUUCAUAUACCUCGUGCAGGUUCUUCCCUGGAGUUUGGCCAAAAAUCCAGAAAAUCUGUGCGCAUUUCCUUAAUGGGGUUUAAAGGAAGGUCUCUAAGCUAUGCUGGCAGGCACGAAUAUGAACAAAGUAUUGAGCCAGAGGUUCUGAUGACGAAAGAAACAGAGCGGUCUGAUAGUUGGGACCAUGCUGAACGAGAAAGGGAUAUGCGUCAAGGAAUUGACCUGGCAACCACAUUGGAACGCAUUGAAAAAAAUUUUGUGAUAACUGAUCCUAGGCUUCCUGAUAACCCAAUCAUAUUUGCUUCUGAUAGCUUUCUGGAGUUGACAGAGUAUAUGCGAGAAGAAAUUAUUGGAAGAAAUUGUCGAUUUCUUCAAGGACCUGAAACAGAUAAAGGAACUGUAUCAAUGAUAAGGGAUGCUAUAAGAGAACAAAGAGAAAUCACUGUUCAGCUGAUAAAUUAUACUAAAAGUGGGAAGAAAUUUUGGAAUUUGUUCCACUUGCAGCCAAUGCGUGAUCAAAAGGGAGAACUUCAAUACUUCAUUGGUGUUCAACUAGACGGAAGUGAUCAUUUGGAACCCUUGAGAAACCGGCUGUCAGAGAUAACAGAGCAACAAAGUGCUAAGCUGGUCAAAGCUACUGCAGAAAAUGUUGAUGAGGCUGUUCGAGAACUUCCUGAUGCCAACUUGAAACCAGAAGAUUUAUGGGCUAUCCAUUCUAAACCUGUCUACCCAAGGCCUCAUAAAAAGGAUAGUGCUUCAUGGGCUGCUAUACAAAAGGUCACUGCAAGGGGUGAACGAAUUGGGCUUAAUCAUUUCAAGCCUAUUAGACCUUUGGGAUGCGGAGACACUGGCAGCGUUCAUUUGGUGGAACUGAAUGGAACUGGUGAACUUUUUGCCAUGAAGGCAAUGGACAAGUCCAUAAUGCUGACUCGAAACAAGGUUCACCGAGCAUGCAUUGAAAGGGAAAUCAUUUCGCUACUGGAUCAUCCUUUCCUACCGACUCUGUACACAUCUUUCCAGACUUCAACACAUGUUUGCUUGAUAACUGACUUUUGCCCUGGAGGAGAGCUAUUUGCCUUGCUUGACAAGCAACCUAUGAAAAUCUUUAAAGAGGAAUGUGCAAGAUUCUAUGCAGCAGAAGUUGUGGUUGGCUUAGAAUACCUUCAUUGUUUAGGAAUAAUUUACCGCGACUUGAAGCCAGAAAACGUGUUGCUUCAACAAGAUGGACAUGUCGUGUUAACUGACUUUGACCUAUCCUUUAUGACAUCUUGUAAACCUCAAAUAAUAAAGCAUCCUCUACCCAAGAAGAGAAGGUCUAGGAGUCAACCACCGCCAACUUUUGUUGCAGAACCAGUUACGCAAUCAAAUUCAUUUGUUGGAACUGAAGAAUACAUUGCUCCGGAGAUCAUCACAGGUGAAGGCCACAGCAGUGCUAUUGAUUGGUGGGCUCUUGGUAUUUUGCUGUAUGAGAUGCUUUAUGGCCGUACACCUUUCAGGGGGAAAAAUAGGCAGAGGACAUUUGCCAACAUCUUGCACAAAGACCUCACCUUUCCAAGUAGCAUCCCGGUAAGUCUUCCAGCCAGGCAGUUGAUUCAUGCAUUGUUAAAUAGAGACCCGGGCAGCCGCUUAGGAUCAAACAGUGGUGCCAAUGAAAUCAAACAACAUUCUUUCUUUCAUGGAAUUCAUUGGCCGCUGAUCCGCUGCAUGAGCCCACCACCAUUAGAUGCACCUCUUCAAUUGAUCGGAAAAGAUCCAAAGGCAAAAAAUUUACUAUGGGAGGAUGAUGGAGUGCUUGUUAAUCCCAUGGAGCUUUUCUAGAGUCAAAUUGGAUGAAAAACUUAACCACAUUGGUUGAACAAAGUUAUGUGCUGAUAAUCAAAUGUGAGUGGGUGGAAGCGCACAUGGGCCAAGCCACAGGGGUCUAAGCAUAUCCUUGUAUUUUUCACAGUAAGCAGCUACAUAGAUGAACCAUACUUGGUCAUGAACAUUACUCACAAGAUGGGGCUCUAUGGGAUUGGCAGCAGAGUAUAGAAAAUUGUGCAUGAUAAAGCAUCCAACGGGAUUUACAGCACUUCUUUGUUCCUUCUUCUGUUUUGUUUGCGAUAUUAGUUGCCCCUAAAUGAUUGUGUAAAGGGGCGGAUACUGUGGAUGGCAAACUGCCAUCAUUGCUAAAGUGAAACUACAUUUCGUUGUAGUUUGGGUUAUGGUCCAAAAAGGUUUUCGCUUCAGACAUCAUGAUCAUUGGUUUGGGAUCAACAGCAAUCUGUUGUACAGUAUUUCUCAUGUGUUGAUAGACUUGCUGUAUACCUGUUGUUUGGAAUGGUAUACAACAUGUACAGUACUUCAUGUUA
Molecule: RNA transcript, 3885 nt
Organism: Rhododendron vialii
Lineage: Eukaryota; Viridiplantae; Streptophyta; Magnoliopsida; Ericales; Ericaceae
Gene name: phototropin-2-like
Exons: 25
Source: RefSeq, a predicted model, not a curated record